This 390-nucleotide ribosomal RNA is filed under the name uncultured bacterium. RNAcentral describes it as "bacterial SSU rRNA". It matches the Rfam family "Bacterial small subunit ribosomal RNA", at positions 30 to 418 of the family's 1533-position model. The record is from RNAcentral.
AUUGAACGCUGGCGGCAUGCCUUACACAUGCAAGUCGAACGGCAGCACGGGAGCAAUCCUGGUGGCGAGUGGCGAACGGGUGAGUAAUAUAUCGGAACGUGCCCAGUCGUGGGGAUAACGUAGCGAAAGCUACGCUAAUACCGCAUACGAUCUAUGGAUGAAAGCGGGGGAUCGCAAGACCUCGCGCGAUUGGAGCGGCCGAUAUCAGAUUAGGUAGUUGGUGAGGUAAAGGCUCGCCAAGCCGACGAUCUGUAGCUGGUCUGAGAGGACGACCAGCCACACUGGGACUGAGACACGGCCCAGACUCCUACGGGAGGCAGGCAGUGGGGAAUUUUGGGACAAUGGGCGCAAGCCUGAUCCAGCCAAUGCCGCGUGCAGGAUGAAGGCCUU